RNAcentral lists this ribosomal RNA (463 nucleotides) under uncultured bacterium. RNAcentral describes it as "partial 16S ribosomal RNA". It matches the Rfam family "Bacterial small subunit ribosomal RNA", at positions 28 to 507 of the family's 1533-position model. The record is from RNAcentral.
GAUGAACGCUGACAGAAUGCUUAACACAUGCAAGUCGAUGGGGAAGUGGUGCUUGCACCAUGGUAACCAUGGCGGACGGGUGAGUAACGCGUAAGGAACUUACCUGCGGGACCGGGAUAACAGCAGGAAACUGCUGACAAGACCGGAUAAGGUCAUUAAGCUGCAUAGCUUAGUGAUGAAAGGAGACGCCUGCGGAGAGCCUUGCGUCCUAUUAGCUAGUUGGAGGGGUAACGGCCCACCAAGGCGAAGAUAGGUAGCCGGCCUGAGAGGGUGGACGGCCACAAGGGGACUGAGAUACGGCGCUUACACCUACGGGAGGCAGCAGUGGGGAAUAUUGGACAAUGGGGGCAACCCUGAGCCAGCAAUUCUGUGUGAACGAAGACGGUUUUCGGAUUGUAAAGUGCUUUCAGCAGGGAAGAAGGAAGUGACGGUACCUGCAGAAGAAGCGACGGCUAAAUACGUG